RNAcentral lists this transfer RNA (75 nucleotides) under Brevundimonas phage vB_BpoS-Marchewka. RNAcentral's name for it is "tRNA-Val". The stretch from base 1 to 65 matches the Rfam family "tRNA". From Rfam's summary of the family: Transfer RNA (tRNA) molecules are approximately 80 nucleotides in length. Their secondary structure includes four short double-helical elements and three loops (D, anti-codon, and T loops). Lineage: Duplodnaviria; Heunggongvirae; Uroviricota; Caudoviricetes; Jeanschmidtviridae. The record is from RNAcentral.
UAGCCAAGUAGAAAGGCAUCGGUAUGACACGCCGACAAGCACAGGUGCGAUUCCUGUAUCCGCUACCAGGCGGAU